AGCUAUAGAAUUAAAAUUUGAAUUACAUUCUUCUUAUAUGGAUGAAAUCUAUUAAGGUUUUCUAGAUAUUUAUAAAAUAUAACUUCACUUUUCCCAAAGAAGUGCUUGGUGUAAUUCCAAACAAAAAAAACAUAUAAUAUGACAUCAUACGUGUGUCGUUUUGUGCUUUGGAGUCUAAUUUCUAUCUUAGUUGGAAACUUCUGCUUUUUGGGUACAAAUUCUUCUUUUUUUGAAGUAAUUUUUACUAAAAUUAAUUCCUAGUUCCCUUAUAUAUAUGCCUAUAUGCUUAAUUUU
RNAcentral lists this long non-coding RNA (294 nucleotides) under Physcomitrium patens. Its description in RNAcentral is "long non-coding RNA (PPAT_LNC001161)". The record is from RNAcentral. Lineage: Eukaryota; Viridiplantae; Streptophyta; Bryopsida; Funariales; Funariaceae.